ACAAGUCAGUAAGAUUGUUGUACCUUUGAAACUUCCUUAUGUUUAUUCUGUUCUUAUAAUUUUCUCUUUUCCUCAGAGUGAUUAGCAAUCAAACUUUUUUUAAAAGGCUCAUAUGUCCUGGUCUAUGUGGGCAGAAAGUAUAAGGGGCUCAGAGAGUGGGCAUAAAAACACUGAAGCCAGGACUGCAGAGGAGAAGAUACCCAAAGAACAAAGAAGAUGCUCUCUGAGUCAGGUAAACGAAAACCAGCAUUCUCCGUGUAAGCUUUAAACAAGAGGGGAGACCAUACAUGGCCAGAGCCAGGGAGUGGAAAAACCCCCGAAUUUAAGAAGGAAAGGAACCUUGUGGUUUCUUCAGCUCCAGGAAAUAGCAGACACACCCCUAUCCACACCCCGCUACCAUUUAUAUCUACCCUGGGUUCUUCUAUUUAAUUAGAAAAUCUUUUAUUUAUCAAGCAAAUAUUUGUUGAGUGAUGUGCCAGGAAUAGACAGGAGAGGAAAGGAGGAAGUCGGUUCGUUUCAGUUAGCCAAGUUGGUCUAUUCAUCUUUUCCUUCUUAAACAAACGGCUCCUUCACUCCCUCCCUCCAGACAAGCGUUCUGUGUGAAAGCUUUUAUCUUUUCACAUGACCCUACAUCCUUGUUCACAAUGAUUGGUUCCCUUCAGGGGUGAACAACUUACCCAAGCCAAUCGCUGUGCCUCACUCCCUUGACCACUGCAAUUGGUCAAAGGGUUGUCAUGUCAUAUUAUCUUAAUAAAGCUUCUGAUUUAUUAAGUCAAUCAGACUUCUUCCCUCGCUUUUUUUUUUUUUUAAACUUUAUGGGAAAGGAGGGCUCCUUCCCUCCAGUUCAAGACCCGUGAGCCCAGAUGUGAGCCUGGAAACUGUAGAAAGCCAGAAAAGAAGCAGAGGGGAAAAUAAGACAAUGAGCAAAACCCUCAGAGACGCAGGAAGGAAAAAAGUCCUGCUGGCAUUCAGAACCCUGUGUCAGGUCUUUGUGAAUCACCCAUUUCCUCUGUCCAUCUGGCUGUCUGAUUAUUUAAGCCAUAACCUUUCCAUUCUUCUGAAGCUAUUUCCUAUUGUAUUUCUAUUAUUUGAAACCAAAGGGUGUUCCCCAGUACAGGGGUUUGGAUUGCAGAGCUGUGUGAGCUCUAGUACGCCUCCUGGGUCUAGUGAAGCAGACAGGUGCCAGAUCAGAAGCUUUAUUAAGAUAAUGAGGGAGGAAGCCAAGCACGGUGGCUCACAGCUUUAAUUCCAGCACUUUGGGAGGUCGACGCAGGUGGAUCACUUAAGGUCAAGAGUUUGAGACCAGCCUGGCCAAAAUGGAGAAACCCCGUCUCUAAUAAACACAAAAAUUAGCUGGGUGUGGUGGCGUCCCUGUAAUCCCAGCUAUUGGGAGGCUAAGGCACCAGAAUCACUUGAACCCAGGAGGUGGAGAUUACAGUGAGCCCCGAUUGUGACACUGCACUCCAGCAAGACUCUGCCUCAAAAAAAAAAAAAAGAUGAGGGAACUAAUGAUGCUCUCAUUACCUUUUACCUAUUGAUAGAACUGUGCCUUCACUUAACAUUAAUGCAAACAAUACUUGUUGAAUACCUGCCCUGUAUUUCCCUCAUCAGUUUUUGGCCUUUGAAAUUGAAUUCAUGCAUGCCCGUUCUUCUUUCCGUCUUAAUUUCAUUCAGCCUAUUGGGAAAAGUAAAAGGGAGGAUUCCACUUAUGCCCGUAACUGUGAAAAUGCAACGUUUCUUUAGUGGAAAAUUUACAAUUAACCACAAGAUGGGGCUGUUAUGCAAGGAAGUAAAAGCUAAUGGUUGGCGGGAAGAGGAUGCAACAUUUCCAGCAUCCAGGAUAGGAUAUUUAAAUGCUUCCUCACUAGAAAAUAAGGAAAGGAAAAUAUUUUAAGAACAUAUAUUCAUCAAAUGAAAGCACUACUCAUAACAACUUCAGGGAUUACUCUUUUUUAACAAUCUAGUGUUCCUUUUUGGGAAAAUGAUACAUAAUUAUUACAGUAGAUAUUUUCCCCUCCGAGAUUCUGCCUACAUCAAGGUUGAUUGCUUGUCUUUCUUCCUGGUUUUAUUCAUCUUCAUUCUUCAGCCCCUUUCAAUGAAAGGUCAUAACAUAAAGCUAAAAUACAUGCAUUAAUUUAUUAAUUUAUUUACAGAUUUCUAUGUACUCUGGUAUUCAAGUUCAAAGAUGAAGAAAUAGCAUUUGAUAUAUUUUAUUAACAUACUCUUUUUUCCUGGUGUCUUCCACCUCAACCUAAAGUAAAUCACUUUGACCUCAUUUCCCCCUUGGGUUUGCAGUUUGAAGAUCUGGAAAACUCUUGAUUAAUAGCAAUAACGUAAGUAGACACAUUUUUAGAAAAUCCAAAAGAGGCAAGAGGAAGGUGAGCCCUGCAUAUGCCUUUGCCUUAGGAGAGACUACAGCAUUUGCUGGGGCAAGAUGACCACAGAAGGCAGCUAGCUGAGAAUGUCCAUUCACCCUGGGGCUGUGCAAAGCAGGAAGUCUGCACUUAGAUGCAAGGGAAGCCACAGAGAGGAGGCAUUCCUGUUCCUUCUAGGGCACAGUCCAAUCUGUGUUGCGCUCACUCAAACUGGGAGCCUCCUGUUGAGAAAUGGGAAACCUAAAAAUAAACCUGUAGAAAGUACUUUGACCUUGGCUUGAAAGUCAGCCCAGUGCUAUGACAAGAAAGGCCUUUUACAUGAAGAUUAUGUUCUUAAAAGCCAUAUUUCAUCCUCACCCAGACUCCCAGUAAAACCACACUCAGAAAAUGUGCGUCUUGGCUAUCCUUCAACUGUAAAAUCAUUAUGUUUGGCUCUGGUUAUUCUGGACAUUAGAUGUCUAUGGAAGGGUUUCUUUCUGAAAUUCCUUGUACAAACUGUUAGGGGUUAUAAACUGGAUUAAUAGCGACAUUUAAGCAAAUCUGCUAUGCUGUAUGUAUGUAAGACUUUAUGAUUUUUGGAAAGAAUUCAAGGAAAAAGCAGAAAAAAAUGUAUUCAAGUAAAUCAGAAUGCACAUGCUUUAGAAUUAAUGACAAUAAACUAAUAACUUUUCUUGAAGAAAUCUAGCCAGAACUUCAAGAGAAUAUAUUUUGUUAAAGUUUUAGUAAUUAAAUCCAAAAUUAAAGGGUACUAUCCUAUAAUUUCUUGCAUGUGUUAGGAUUAUAAUAUUUAAAAUUUUCAAUAUCAAAGCAUUUCAGGCGACUUUCAUAUGUAUUCUGCAUGUAUUUCAAGGAUAACCCUUAAACGAUGAUAAAAAGCUAUUAAAGAGGGGAGAAAAAGCACUUUUACAUACUUAGGUAACUUUCUAAAGAACAGCUGCCACCAAUUAAACAACAAAUACCUUGUAAAGACUCUUGGGGGUUCAAUGUUCUUUCAUUGAACUGAAAAAUGGACUGAAAAAUCUGGGAAAAUGGACUUCAUUAGCAACUACAAACUUAUUGAAAGGAUAUCUGAAAUGGCAUUUAAUACCUGCAAAGACAAACAAUCAGUAGUUUAAAGUUUCACCAUAAGAUUGGUAAAUAACACUGAUUACAGGUCUUAUUCAAACAGAAAAUAAUGAAUAUGUAAUGAGAGGAGAAUAAUGAUCCAAAUUGCUCUUAAUCUUGGAGUUGUGCCUAUUGAUUGGCCUGGAAAUAAUAGUGCUAAUCUUACAGUAAGAAAGUCAAGUGCUUUAGAAAGUCAUUAGCUUUGGGGAAACAGGAUACCCAUUUCAUUGUACCAAUACAGAGUUUUAUUGAGUAAAGCCUCAAACAAUGUAUGUUUAAGAAAAAUUCCAAGGUUAACCUAAGUCAAAUAGCAUUCCUCUCCACUCUGUAACUCAUAAAAGCAAUUUAGGUACUCCUUAUAAUUCAUCCAACUAAAUGCCUAUUGUAUUCCUGCAACACAAGAUAAUCAAAUACAGUAAAUAAUUCAGCAUUCCAAAAGGUAAUUAUUGAUCUCACACUGGCUUAUUUCUAAUAAGCUGAAGAAGUAGUAACCUUCUCAAAACAGUACAUCUACAUUUUAGACAGGCAUUCCUGAGACACUCUGGCAAAGUUUCAUGAACGAACAUAUUUAUAAGCAAAUAUACAUUACAAAGACGCAAAGUCUUUUUAAAAGUCAUAAUUUCUCAUCUCUAGGAGAAGCCUCAAAGGAUUCUGAAUUUGAAAUAUCUUUACUUCCCAUUAACUUUCCAUGUAUCCAAUUACAGGUUAAAUUUACAUUCUUUUCAAUACAUUUUUGAGACCUUAAAUGUAUUCUUAGAUCCUGAGCUUGAAAAAUGAUUGCUUUUAUUUUAAUUUAAAUAACACAAGCAUCUGGUUAAUGAAAAUAGAUAUAACAUGAAAAACCCUGGCUCCUCUUAGCAACUGUGCAUGGAACAGGUAACUGGCCAGUGUUAAGGGUUGCCAGGUGGGGGCAGCAGAGAGCGCUUCGCAAUGACGUGUUAGAUGAGGCUCUCAAGACCAGCUGGUUGCCAGGGAACACGCCGGGCACCUGAGAAGUGGGCGAGAUCAAUUUGUUAUGGGGAAGUCAGCUGAAUGCAGAGUUGAAAACAGAAAGUGUAAGCCAGGGGGAACAAAAAAAGACUGAAGUCAAACUGGAAAGAGCUUGGGCCUGGAAGUCACGAAAACCUGACUUCUGACCUUUACCAAAUGUGUCACCUCAGUUGCGUGUUCCUGGAGGAAGAUCAUAUACCAGUUAAACUGCCAUUUUGCCUCUCAGUGUGUAUGUUUGAACCCAUUCGACCAACUCCUGAGAAUUUAUCAGAAAACUGCUGAUCACCAGCUUCAGGUGUUUUCUGUCUAUUGGGAGGCUUUUUCCUGGCGCCAGCUGUGACCAAUUAUUUUGGAGAGACCGUUUAACAAUCACUUGAUCAUCACCUGAUUGUCACCUGACAUUCCUGAUGGGGGCCCUCUCCUGCCCUGCUUGUGUUGUGUCUGUCUAACUACCACGCUAAAAACCUAAGAACUUGGAUGUGUUUCUCUCAAAGUUUGACACUAUUCCUCUGAAAGGGAGAGCACAAUUAAGGAGGACUUACUGACUUACAGAAGGAGAAUGAAUGAAAGAAGAAAUGCAACUUGUCUAAGAUUAUGCGAAAGGCAGCGAGUGUUCACAGGUAGAGGAUAAAGGGAAAGAGACAGAGCUGAUUCUACUGGGGAUCCAGCAGAGCUUUGAUGAUGCGGACUGUUUCCUAUUUUGCCUGUGAAGAUUGUCCAGAGCUAAAGUAAGUAAACCUGUGGAGAAUAUGGAGAUAAAAUACAAGACAAAAAGGUAGGAAAUGGGCAAAAGGAAAAUAAUAUAUGUAUUACACAUUUUGUAAUUAAGAAUAUGAAGGAUUAGCUGGAUGUGGUAGUAUGGGCCUGUAGCCUCAGUUACUCGGCAGGCUGAUGUAGGAGAAUAAUUUUUGAACCCAGGAGAUGGAGACUGUAGUGAGCUGUGAUUAUGCCAUUGCACUUUAGCCUGGGCAACAGGUAGGACUCUAUCUCUAAAUUAAAUUAAAGAAUGUAAAGGGGAGCCAGCCACAGCAACACACAUCUAUAAUUUCAGCUACUUGGGAGGCUGAGGCAGGAGGAUUGCCUGAGACCAGCAGUUUGAGAUCAGCCUGGCCAACACAGUGAGACACCAUCUUUACAUAAAAGAAAAAGAAAGAAUGUGAAGGGGAAUGCCCCAGGGGUAUUGCUAUGAACUGUACUGCUGCUAUAUCCAACAGAGUAAUUUUAGCUGUGAUUUACAGAGACCUUAACAAAUUGUAACUUAACCAUUAGGAAAGUUCUUCCUCAAUGUAAAGCAGUCUGGAGGAAGGUGAUUCCCAGUUGUUUGGGGAGCUCAUGACACAGCAAGGGCCCACACUUGUCCCACCUGUCUGGUAGACCAUCCUCUGCAUUUUGACUAAGUUUUCCAUUUUGAUCAUAAGGUAGCUGCUGGAGCUCCCAGCAUAAAAUUCUCACACAUCAGCUUCUAUCAAUUCCUAAGCAGGAAGGAAGUGGAUAUGGGUAAAGAGAGACUUUUCUUUUUCCAUGCCUUUCUCUUAACUGAGA
Molecule: long non-coding RNA, 6011 nt
Organism: Callithrix jacchus (white-tufted-ear marmoset)
Lineage: Eukaryota; Metazoa; Chordata; Mammalia; Primates; Cebidae
Source: RefSeq, a predicted model, not a curated record